This 445-nucleotide ribosomal RNA is filed under the name Actinomyces israelii. RNAcentral describes it as "bacterial SSU rRNA". It matches the Rfam family "Bacterial small subunit ribosomal RNA", at positions 28 to 453 of the family's 1533-position model. The record is from RNAcentral. Lineage: Bacteria; Bacillati; Actinomycetota; Actinomycetes; Actinomycetales; Actinomycetaceae.
GACGAACGCUGGCGGCGUGCUUAACACAUGCAAGUCGAACGGGCCUGUCCCUGGUUUUUGCUGGGGUGGGUUAGUGGCGAACGGGUGAGUAACACGUGAGUAACCUGCCCCUCACUUCUGGAUAACCGCUUGAAAGGGUGGCUAAUACGGGGUGUUCUGGCUGUGCCGCAUGGUGUGGUUGGGAAAGAUUCACUGCUUUGUGGUGUUUUGGUGGGGGAUGGGCUCGCGGCCUAUCAGCUUGUUGGUGGGGUGAUGGCCUGCCAAGGCUUUGACGGGUAGCCGGCCUGAGAGGGUGGGCGGUCACACUGGGACUGAGACACGGCCCAGACUCCUCGGGAGGCAGCAGUGGGGGAUAUUGCACAAUGGGCGGAAGCCUGAUGCAGCGACGUCGCGUGAGGGAUGGAGGCCUUCGGGUUGUGAACCUCUUUCGCCGGUGAAGAAGGUC